CCGUGCUAGGCGGGGAGAUAGCGGUGCCCUGAACCUGCAAUCCGCUAGAGCAGGGUCGAAUGCCCGCCUGCGGCUUUACCCUAAUGGGGUCUGGCCCCCGUUUGUGUAGUGCUGAAGAUUGGGUCCUGCGCGGCGGAAGCCUAUGAACCCCGUCAGGCCCGGGAGGGAGCAGCGGUAAGUAGGAUAUUCCGGGUGCCGCAGGGGUGCCUGAUUGGAGCUACCGGCGGGGGUAACGCCCAGGAGGGAAGGUCAAGGGUGGGUUGCACGG
Molecule: signal recognition particle RNA, 268 nt
Filed under: Bacillota bacterium
Lineage: Bacteria; Bacillati; Bacillota
Description: signal recognition particle sRNA large type
Rfam family: Bacterial large signal recognition particle RNA
About the family: The signal recognition particle (SRP) is a universally conserved ribonucleoprotein involved in the co-translational targeting of proteins to membranes. Archaeal SRP consists of a 7S RNA and homologues of the eukaryotic SRP19 and SRP54 proteins. In most bacteria, the SRP consists of a 4.5S RNA and the Ffh protein (a homologue of the eukaryotic SRP54 protein).
Source: RNAcentral